RNAcentral lists this ribosomal RNA (440 nucleotides) under uncultured bacterium. RNAcentral describes it as "partial 16S ribosomal RNA". It matches the Rfam family "Bacterial small subunit ribosomal RNA", at positions 338 to 795 of the family's 1533-position model. The record is from RNAcentral.
CCUACGGGGGGCAGCAGUGGGGAAUAUUGCACAAUGGGGGAAACCCUGAUGCAGCGACGCCGCGUGAGUGAAGAAGUAUUUCGGUACGUAAAGCUCUAUCAGCAGGGAAGAAAAUGACGGUACCUGACUAAGAAGCCCCGGCUAACUACGUGCCAGCAGCCGCGGUAAUACGUAGGGGGCAAGCGUUAUCCGGAUUUACUGGGUGUAAAGGGAGCGUAGACGGCAGCGCAAGUCUGGAGUGAAAUCCCAUGGCUUAACCAUGGAACUGCUUUGGAAACUGUGCAGCUAGAGUGCAGGAGAGGUAAGCGGAAUUCCUAGUGUAGCGGUGAAAUGCGUAGAUAUUAGGAGGAACACCAGUGGCGAAGGCGGCUUACUGGACUGUAACUGACGUUGAGGCUCGAAAGCGUGGGGAGCAAACAGGAUUAGAUACCCGGGUAGUC